Molecule: ribosomal RNA, 527 nt
Filed under: Amanita kitamagotake
Lineage: Eukaryota; Fungi; Basidiomycota; Agaricomycetes; Agaricales; Amanitaceae
Description: partial large subunit ribosomal RNA
Rfam family: Eukaryotic large subunit ribosomal RNA
Source: RNAcentral
UGAAGCGGGAAAAGCUCAAAUUUAAAAUCUGACAGUGGUUUCACUGUCCGAAUUGUAAUCUAGAGAAGUGUUGCUCACACUGGACCAUGUAUAAGUCUUCUGGAAUGAAGCGUCAUAGAGGGUGAGAAUCCCGUCUUUGACAUGGACUGCCAGUGUAUUUGUAGCAUGCUCUCAAAGAGUCGAGUUGUUUGGGAAUGCAGCUCUAAAUGGGUGGUAACCUCCAUCUAAAGCUAAAUAUUGGCGAGAGACCGAUAGUGAACAAGUACCGUGAGGGAAAGAUGAAAAGAACUUUGGAAAGAGAGUUAAAAAGUACGUGAAAUUGUUGAAAGGGAAACGCUUGAAGUCAGUCACAUUGGCCAGGGAUCAACUUAUUUUGCUUAAGUGUACUUCCUGGUUGAUGGGCCAACAUCAGCUUUGACUGUCAGAGAAGGGUAGGGGGAAUGUGGCACCCUCUUGGGUGUGUUAUAGCCCUCUGUCUUAUAUGGCAGUUGGGGCUGAGGAAUGCAGCGCGCCACAAAGGCCGGGCU